GCUUACUCAUCCUCUCUUUACUAAUAUUUGGAAGAAGUCUGAGCUUCAAGUUUUGACUCCGUACAUAAACAUAUCAUUCAGGCCAUCACCUAAUAGAGACAGACCUAGACAAGCCCUGCAGGGCGUUGAUAUCAUUCUGGAAGAUUUCUUCAGCCUUGGAUUUGUCAAAAUUCCCGGAUUCUAUGGCCUCUGUUAUGUGCUGGAGACCCUUUAGGCUUCUAGUCUCAGUUGGUCCAAGGAAACCACGCCUAGCAGUCUUCGGUCCAUCCUGUAGAAAAUUAGCGAAAUUUCCGUCUUUUCCUUCAACAAAUUUGCAGAGGUACAUCACACCAGCGCAUGCAAAAUCCUGCUUGGUCUCUAUAGCAUUCACCUUCCCAUCGAGACCCCAAACGAGCUGCUGGAGAGAGUUCAGGUUAUAACCAAUAUCAGUGAGUUUAUCACGAGCAUCAAUAACCUCAUUUUUUAUUUCGGAUGAUAUUGCUUUCUGCUCGUCCAUUUUCCCAUCCAAAUUCUCAAUCCGCUGUGUCAAAUGUUUCUUCGUCGCAGCAAGGGCAGCAGACACUUGGUCGAGAUGCUUUGUCAUGCUUGAAACAGCAUUGGACAUAUUUUGCUUGGUCACAUACAUAAGGUCGGAGAAUGAGAGGCCUUUCCACCACAUAUAUCCAUAACCUAAUGCCCCCACGGUUGCAGCUGGCACCAAAAGUGAUGAGAAAUUACCUGAUUGCCCUCCACUUCCAUUGAGAACAGUUAUUGGACGUGCCGAGGCAAGCUGUCGGACUUCCAUGGCCAGUCGGCGCACCUGCGUCGCGAGAGCAUCAGCGUGUUCCCCAUCCGUUCCCUGCUCCCCGGACUUCUCCUUCAGCAAAGCCUGUAGUUCGGCCAGGAUAUCGGACAGCUUGCCGUUGCGCAACAUGAUUGACCCCGUGAAACCGGCGCCGAGGAGGAAGACGACCUUGCUGAGGCCCAUACCGGCGUGCAUCGCCAUGAUCGGAGCUGUGAGGGGAGCGG
RNAcentral lists this unclassified non-coding RNA (1008 nucleotides) under Hevea brasiliensis (rubber tree). The record is from RNAcentral. Lineage: Eukaryota; Viridiplantae; Streptophyta; Magnoliopsida; Malpighiales; Euphorbiaceae.